Long non-coding RNA from Neogale vison (American mink), 438 nucleotides. RefSeq lists it as uncharacterized. The transcript has 4 exons. NCBI's taxonomy places the organism in Eukaryota, Metazoa, Chordata, Mammalia, Carnivora, Mustelidae. The record is from RefSeq and is a predicted model, not a curated record.
GAGACAGAGAGAGGCAGAGACACAGGAAAAUCUGAAACCCUCCGUCAGUAAGUAGAACCUGUCAGCAACCAAACCCGGAGCUGUGAAGUCCAUUACGCUUCCCACACAUAAAUUUUCAAUAACUCAUGAUGGCAUUACGUAGCCCUCUUACCCUCUGAUUCUCCCCGCCUCCUCGGGAGACCAGCCACAGAGCUGGGUCGCAGGGGGGUUAGGAAAGUCAAGGGCUGGAAUAUUGGAGCUAUGAGAUUUCAGCCAGGACUCAAAAGAAGUGGAGAUUGAAGAAAAUGCUGUUUUUUCCCUUAUAAAUGGUUUCUAUUAGAGUCACUCUUCUCAGGGAACCUAUCGCACAGGGGAACAUCAGGGACAUCACAAUGGAGAAAAGGUUUGGAAUCAUCAACUCCAGAGAUCACAAAUAGGCAGAGAAGCAGGCAGGGGAAG